This 406-nucleotide ribosomal RNA is filed under the name uncultured bacterium. RNAcentral describes it as "partial 16S ribosomal RNA". It matches the Rfam family "Bacterial small subunit ribosomal RNA", at positions 30 to 526 of the family's 1533-position model. The record is from RNAcentral.
AUUGAACGCUGGCGGCAGGCCUAACACAUGCAAGUAGAACGAGUGGCGGACGGGUGAGUAAUGUCUGGGAAACUGCCUGAUGGAGGGGGAUAACUACUGGAAACGGUAGCUAAUACCGCAUACCAUCGGAUGUUCCCAGAUGGGAUUAGCUUGUUGGUGGGGUAACGGCUCACAAAGGCGACGCUCCCUAGCUGGUCUGAGAGGAUGACCAGCCACACUGGAACUGAGACACGGUCCAGACUCCGACGGGAGGCUGCAGUGGGGAAUAUUGCACAUGGGGCGCAAGCCUGAUGCAGCCAGGCCGCGGGUAUGAAGAAGGCCUGCGGGUUGUAAAGUACUUUCAGCGGGGAGGCGUUACCCGCAGAAGAAGCACCGGCUAACUCCGUGCCAGCAGCCGCGGUAAUUC